This 237-nucleotide ribosomal RNA is filed under the name uncultured bacterium. RNAcentral describes it as "partial 16S ribosomal RNA". It matches the Rfam family "Bacterial small subunit ribosomal RNA", at positions 99 to 334 of the family's 1533-position model. The record is from RNAcentral.
CGAACGGGUGAGUAACACGUGAGUAACCUGCCCCAGAGUGGGGGACAACAGUUGGAAACGACUGCUAAUACCGCAUAAGCCCACGGAACCGCAUGGUUCAGAGGGAAAAGGAGCAAUUCGCUUUGGGAUGGACUCGCGUCCGAUUAGCUAGAUGGUGAGGUAACGGCCCACCAUGGCGACGAUCGGUAGCCGGACUGAGAGGUUGAACGGCCACAUUGGGACUGAGACACGGCCCAG